Long non-coding RNA from Suricata suricatta (meerkat), 389 nucleotides. RefSeq lists it as uncharacterized. Lineage: Eukaryota; Metazoa; Chordata; Mammalia; Carnivora; Herpestidae. The record is from RefSeq and is a predicted model, not a curated record. The transcript has 2 exons.
GUCAGCACAGAGCCUGACGCGGGGCUGGAACCCACGAAGGAGGACCUCUUUAGGAGAGAAUGUGGGUCUGAGACCAAGGUGACGCGGAAGUCUCCUGUGUAGAAGCAGACGGAAAAGACUGGCUGGGACAAGGCCAGAAGAUGGGGACUGAACCUGGCAUGCUGAAGGGGCAGAAGGAAGACCAGUGCGGCUGGAGCCUGGGGUCCAGGGUGGAGAGGAAUGGGAGGGGCUGAGGUCACGGAUAGCCGGGUCAGGUCACUGGGCUUGGUAGGGACAAGAGGUGGGGGUUUGAUCCUAAGGACAACAACUUCAGAGGGAGUAUGCAAAGCUAGACAUUUUCAGUUCAUUGUUUUGUAAACAAGUAGAAUAUAAAGCUUACUCUGUACUGA